RNAcentral lists this long non-coding RNA (362 nucleotides) under Struthio camelus australis. Its description in RNAcentral is "lncRNA (ENSSCUG00000002538.1)". Lineage: Eukaryota; Metazoa; Chordata; Aves; Struthioniformes; Struthionidae. The record is from RNAcentral.
AUGUGUGUGUGUUUUGGGGGGGAAGAUCCUCGAUUUCUCAGGGCUCCUAGAGCUGGGGAGAAGAAGAUGCGGUCUUGCUGGCUUGCUGCUGCCCCCGGUCUGAAAGAAGGAGAAAAGGGCCAUCAUUGGAGGGCUUUCAGUGCCAAAAUGUGGACCAGCCCGGCAAGGUCAGAGGUCCUGGACCGCGGGAGACCAAGCUCGUACAUGCUGCAGCUGGUAUCAGAUGCAUAUUGAAAAAUUCAGCACAGACACAGAAUAUGGACUGCUCUGCACUUCUAAAGGAAUUAUGACUUGAAAUUCAUGCUGCUACUGUUCUUUUAAGGUAUAAAAUAAAACAAAAUAGAUUGUGCUUUAUGUUCUCA